GACGAACGCUGGCGGCGUGCUUAACACAUGCAAGUCGAACGGAAAGGCCCUGCUUUUGUGGGGUGCUCGAGUGGCGAACGGGUGAGUAACACGUGAGUAACCUGCCCUUGACUUUGGGAUAACUUCAGGAAACUGGGGCUAAUACCGGAUAGGAGCUCCUGCUGCAUGGUGGGGGUUGGAAAGUUUCGGCGGUUGGGGAUGGACUCGCGGCUUAUCAGCUUGUUGGUGGGGUAGUGGCUUACCAAGGCUUUGACGGGUAGCCGGCCUGAGAGGGUGACCGGCCACAUUGGGACUGAGAUACGGCCCAGACUGCUACGGGAGGCAGCAGUGGGGAAUAGUGCACAAUGGGCGGAAGCCUGAUGCAGCAACGCCGCGUGCGGGAUGACGGCCUUCGGGUUGUAAACCGCUUUCGCCUGUGACGAAGCGUGAGUGACGGUAAUGGGUAAAGAAGCACCGGCUAACUACGUG
This 468-nucleotide ribosomal RNA is filed under the name uncultured bacterium. Its description in RNAcentral is "partial 16S ribosomal RNA". It matches the Rfam family "Bacterial small subunit ribosomal RNA", at positions 28 to 507 of the family's 1533-position model. The record is from RNAcentral.